This 1356-nucleotide ribosomal RNA is filed under the name uncultured bacterium. RNAcentral's name for it is "bacterial SSU rRNA". It matches the Rfam family "Bacterial small subunit ribosomal RNA", at positions 18 to 1395 of the family's 1533-position model. The record is from RNAcentral.
CCUGGCUCACGAUGAACGCUGGCGGCGCGCCUAACACAUGCAAGUCGAACGAGCGAGAGAGAGCUUGCUUUCUCGAGCGAGUGGCGAACGGGUGAGUAACGCGUGAGGAACCUGCCUCAAAGAGGGGGACAACAGUUGGAAACGACUGCUAAUACCGCAUAAGCCCACGGCUCGGCAUCGAGCAGAGGGAAAAGGAGCAAUCCGCUUUGAGAUGGCCUCGCGUCCGAUUAGCUAGUUGGUGAGGUAACGGCCCACCAAGGCGACGAUCGGUAGCCGGACUGAGAGGUUGAACGGCCACAUUGGGACUGAGACACGGCCCAGACUCCUACGGGAGGCAGCAGUGGGGAAUAUUGCACAAUGGGGGAAACCCUGAUGCAGCGACGCCGCGUGGAGGAAGAAGGUCUUCGGAUUGUAAACUCCUGUUGUUGAGGAAGAUAAUGACGGUACUCAACAAGGAAGUGACGGCUAACUACGUGCCAGCAGCCGCGGUAAAACGUAGGUCACAAGCGUUGUCCGGAAUUACUGGGUGUAAAGGGAGCGCAGGCGGGAAGACAAGUUGGAAGUGAAAUCCAUGGGCUCAACCCAUGAACUGCUUUCAAAACUGUUUUUCUUGAGUAGUGCAGAGGUAGGCGGAAUUCCCGGUGUAGCGGUGGAAUGCGUAGAUAUCGGGAGGAACACCAGUGGCGAAGGCGGCCUACUGGGCACCAACUGACGCUGAGGCUCGAAAGUGUGGGUAGCAAACAGGAUUAGAUACCCUGGUAGUCCACACUGUAAACGAUGAUUACUAGGUGUUGGAGGAUUGACCCCUUCAGUGCCGCAGUUAACACAAUAAGUAAUCCACCUGGGGAGUACGACCGCAAGGUUGAAACUCAAAGGAAUUGACGGGGGCCCGCACAAGCAGUGGAGUAUGUGGUUUAAUUCGACGCAACGCGAAGAACCUUACCAAGUCUUGACAUCCCUUGACGAUGCUGGAAACAGUAUUUCUCUUCGGAGCAAGGAGACAGGUGGUGCAUGGUUGUCGUCAGCUCGUGUCGUGAGAUGUUGGGUUAAGUCCCGCAACGAGCGCAACCCUUAUGGUCAGUUACUACGCAAGAGGACUCUGGCCAGACUGCCGUUGACAAAACGGAGGAAGGUGGGGAUGACGUCAAAUCAUCAUGCCCUUUAUGACUUGGGCUACACACGUACUACAAUGGCGUUAAACAAAGAGAAGCAAGACCGCGAGGUGGAGCAAAACUCAGAAACAACGUCCCAGUUCGGACUGCAGGCUGCAACUCGCCUGCACGAAGUCGGAAUUGCUAGUAAUCGCAGAUCAGCAUGCUGCGGUGAAUACGUUCCCGGGCCUUGUACACACCGCCC